Long non-coding RNA from Helianthus annuus (common sunflower), 1511 nucleotides. RefSeq lists it as uncharacterized. The transcript has 8 exons. The record is from RefSeq and is a predicted model, not a curated record. NCBI's taxonomy places the organism in Eukaryota, Viridiplantae, Streptophyta, Magnoliopsida, Asterales, Asteraceae.
CUAACCUUUCAUUCAUUAGUCUGUGUUUUCUAUCUUCUUAAAUACGCAUCCGCCUCCUCCUCAAUGAUUCCACUUUCAAAUCCUUCUCAUCCUCAAUGAAUCAUCUUCCAUUUAUUCUUUUCAAGAUCUCCCUCCGCUAAGCACUUUAAUGUUAUCAUCAACGGUGAUAUUUCAAGUGAAGAUCCAAUAGAAUAAAGGGUUAAAAUGUAUCAUCAACGGUUAUAUUUCAAGUGAAGAUCCGAUAGAAUAAAGAGAAAUCGAAGAAAGAGGUGAUCAACUGCGAUUCUGGUGUAUUGGAUCUGUUAAUGGAGGCAUUAAAGAAUGUUUUAUGAACGAGAAGCGAAUUAAAGAUAUAUAUUCUGACUCAAGCUUGAUGGUGCAACUGUUGCGAGGUGUCCCUCAUCGUAACAUGUAGCAGAUAUAGAUGCUAAGGAAUGUCCAGGCGCAUCAUUAAUGCUAUUGAGGAGGUUUGGGUAUGUCGGGCGUGAGCAGAUUUGGACCAUUGGAACUGAACGCUGCAACCACCGGUGAUGAGCAACUGUAAAAUUAGUAGCGAAACAAGAGGAUGCUUGUUUCAAGGGUUGCAAGAAAAUAGAAAUGGUGGAUUCAACAAAGAUUAGGAUUCUAAGGAAAUAACUAUGCAGUUCUUUGAGCAUAGGUUACCAUCUAAAGUUAAAAGUCAAUGAAUGGAGUUAUUUUUAGAUGUCGGUAAUAUUAUUUAAUUCUUUGGGUUAUUAGAAUUUCAUCUUCAUUAUUUUUUAUAUAUUUGAAUAUUAUUGUCUUGCUCUAUGGAUUAUAAACACCAUACAUAACUAAAUCUAAUCCUACUACAAUGGGUUUAGCAUUGGUACCACCAUUGGUACCGCAUAGUAUCAACACCAAUGUUUAUUUUAUAUUUUUAAACACUUAUAAAUUGGUCGGUUCAUUUUAUAAAGGGGACUCCAUUUACUAAGGGAAAUGUUUUGGCAAUUCAAAGGAUAUGCAUCUUCAAAUGGACUCCACUAUCUUUAAAUUGUAUAAACCUGCAUCAGUUAACUUAGGAUCUAUGUUGAAUGAAAUUGGCCUCUAAAGGUUUAUAUCCGGCUUUUUGUCUACAAUAUGUAUUUUUUUAAAGUCCUUACGUCUGUUAAUUUGAAGAUCUUGUUGAAGAUCAUUUCCCUUUGGAGGAAAAUGAUGCACGGCCGUCCGACUGAAACUUACCGUGUCGACAUGAUAUGUAUGGAUGAAGAGGGUCAACAGAUUUAGGGUAGUUGUAUGCAUAGGAUUUUCCCAAGGCUUCAGGACAGCUCUGGAUGAAUGUCUUCUGAUAACCAGACAAUCACUUGCACCCAACAAUUCAACCUAUAACUACACCAAAAAUAAUCAGAAGUUAACUUUCAGUUUUUUCACCCAGAUUCAAAAAAGUCAAGAUUGGAACGGGCCUAAGUAUAACUUCAAUUUUAUGAAUUUCAAGGACGUUGUCCAAAAUUGAAUUGAAGUUAAUACCACUGUUGGUAUGUCAUUUAAUUCAA